This 379-nucleotide unclassified non-coding RNA is filed under the name uncultured fungus. Its description in RNAcentral is "sequence contains ITS1". The record is from RNAcentral. Lineage: Eukaryota; Fungi.
AUAUUGUUAAAAUGAAUGAUGAAGAGCUUGAGAUCCUUCAGAAUUGGCUGAACCUUCCGUCGGACACAAAAGAGAGUUUGCAGGUGUUGGCAGGGUUAUUUUCAGAGAAAAUGAUUUGUGUAACACGCGGAAGUGAUGGAGCUCUUUUGUGGAAUGAUGGGCAAUUUUUUGAAGGAGCAGGAUAUCAAGUUGACGUGUUGGAUACGGUAGGUUCCGGUGAUGCAUUUUUGGCAGCCAUCGUAUCGGGUUAUCUGAGUAACAGCUCCCCGGAAGAGUUAAUUGACAAUGCAAACCGUUUAGGGGCUUUUGUUGCAACAAGGUCUGGAAGCACGCCGGAUUACUCCGUCUGUUCUCUAUCUGAUAUUCAAACACUUCCUUU